This 402-nucleotide ribosomal RNA is filed under the name uncultured bacterium. RNAcentral's name for it is "bacterial SSU rRNA". It matches the Rfam family "Bacterial small subunit ribosomal RNA", at positions 355 to 774 of the family's 1533-position model. The record is from RNAcentral.
UGGGGAAUAUUGGACAAUGGGCGCAAGCCUGAUCCAGCCAUGCCGCGUGAGUGAUGAAGGCCUUAGGGUUGUAAAGCUCUUUUAUCCGGGACGAUAAUGACGGUACCGGAGGAAUAAGCCCCGGCUAACUUCGUGCCAGCAGCCGCGGUAAUACGAAGGGGGCUAGCGUUGCUCGGAAUCACUGGGCGUAAAGGGCGCGUAGGCGGUCUUUUAAGUCGGGGGUGAAAGCCUGUGGCUCAACCACAGAAUUGCCUUCGAUACUGGGAGACUUGAGUUCGGAAGAGGUUGGUGGAACUGCGAGUGUAGAGGUGAAAUUCGUAGAUAUUCGCAAGAACACCGGUGGCGAAGGCGGCCAACUGGUCCGACACUGACGCUGAGGCGCGAAAGCGUGGGGAGCAAACA